This 269-nucleotide ribosomal RNA is filed under the name uncultured prokaryote. Its description in RNAcentral is "partial 16S ribosomal RNA". It matches the Rfam family "Bacterial small subunit ribosomal RNA", at positions 524 to 792 of the family's 1533-position model. The record is from RNAcentral.
UACGUAGGUGGCAAGCGUUACUCGGAAUUACUAGGCGUAAAGCGCGUGUAGAUGGUUUGAUAAGUCGGAUGUGAAAGCUCCUGGCUCAACUGGGAGAGGUCAUUCGAUACUAUCAGGCUUGAGAAUGGGAGGGGAAUUCGGAAUUCCUGGUGUAGCGGUGAAAUGCGUAGAUAUCAGGAGGAAUACCAAUGGCGAAGGCAGAAUUCUGGCCCAUUUCUGACAUUGAGACGCGACAGCUAGGGGAGCAAACAGGAUUAGAUACCCCAGUA